CUAAAAGAAGAAAAAGAGUAUUUCAGAGCACUUAUCAUAAACUGUUAUGCUUUUUUUUCCCCCCUAAACAGAAGCAGCAGGGUAUAGACUUGCCCCUAUAUCAGGUCUGUUCUCAAGAACUUGAGACCCUUUCCCGAGUAGCAAGGCCCAUCUCUAACCCCUGAGGAUUCUGAGUUAUAGUUUGGAAGAAUGCUACGAAGAGGAAAUGCUCGAAGUGUGGGUUGAAGGAACAAGCCACUGGAGUCCAAGUAGGAUGCCCACCCUGGGAUUCCAUUCUAGCUCUAUGCUAGCUAUCCCUUCCAGGAAUUCUUAACCCAAGGAACUUAUAAAGCUGCACAAAGAGCAGAAGUUUCUUUCUUCAUACGUUGACCGAGGUGAGUCUUGUCCCUGCCUUUCUUUACAACUUCCAACGCUCCCCACCAGCCCCAAAACCCAGAACCUAUGCAUCUGAGGUGGGUAGGGAGUGACUAAUCAGGCUUGAUUAUUUCCAAGUUAGAAUAUAAGGUACCCUGGUGAGAAGGAAGUGGUCCUCCUUAGAGAUUAAUGCCCAUACACAGCCCAGACAGGCUUUCAGGAGUUUUGAAUUCCUCCCUAACAGCCCAAACUUCCCUGAGUAGCAAAACUCACCUCUAGCCCAU
Molecule: long non-coding RNA, 638 nt
Filed under: Dasypus novemcinctus (nine-banded armadillo)
Lineage: Eukaryota; Metazoa; Chordata; Mammalia; Cingulata; Dasypodidae
Description: lncRNA (ENSDNOG00000049998.1)
Source: RNAcentral